GCCUUCGUAGUGUAACUGAAAGCACGUCUGGUUGGCAAUCGGGAGGUCCGGAGCUCGAAUCGCGGCUAAGGCA
RNAcentral lists this transfer RNA (73 nucleotides) under Stegodyphus mimosarum. It matches the Rfam family "tRNA". Rfam says of the family: Transfer RNA (tRNA) molecules are approximately 80 nucleotides in length. Lineage: Eukaryota; Metazoa; Arthropoda; Arachnida; Araneae; Eresidae. The record is from Rfam by way of RNAcentral.